AUGCAUACAAACACAGAUUCACACAAUGCAUCCUUUACACACAACCAGAAACACACAAUACAUCCCUUAUACACAAAUACACACUGCUUCCACUACACACAAACACACUGCAUCACCUGCACAAACUGGUAUCCCUAUACACUACAUACCAUAAGCACACAUAUUCGAUCCUCUACAACAGGGGUUCUCAACCCAGUCCUCAGGACCCGCCACUAACUAGGGAUUGGGG
This is a non-coding RNA of Pelobates cultripes (western spadefoot toad), 229 nucleotides long. The record is from the annotation of a GenBank genome assembly. NCBI's taxonomy places the organism in Eukaryota, Metazoa, Chordata, Amphibia, Anura, Pelobatidae.